Long non-coding RNA from Myotis lucifugus (little brown bat), 1089 nucleotides. RefSeq lists it as uncharacterized. The record is from RefSeq and is a predicted model, not a curated record. Lineage: Eukaryota; Metazoa; Chordata; Mammalia; Chiroptera; Vespertilionidae. The transcript is spliced from 2 exons.
CUUGUAAGGAAAUAAGUUACUGGGUGAGGGAGCCUGGCCGUUGGCAGGGUUUCAGCCUAAAAAGUGAGGUGAGGGAGCCGUGGGUGGGGACGUGAGCACCCACAGUUCUCAUGGCCUCGCCCGAGUCCUACAGGAAAGGGACAGGACUGUGAGGGAGGGCCCGGGGCCCCUCCGAUGGUCACCAGUCCCAUUUGCGUUGGGGAUGCAGGAUUCUAACUAGAAGUGUCGGGUCCACUGGGUGCGAUGAACAAAUAACCCCAGACAUUUAAAAACAAAACAACUGUGGGUCUGACACAGGCCACAGUGUCAUCGAAACGAUCCACCUCCCAAGGCUUGGUGACAGUCACAGGGCAGGGCCCCUGCGGCGCUCCCCCAGGCCCCGUGGACCAGGGGACGCGGUGGCCACGGCCUGCUCGCCUGCCACGCUUGGUCACGGAGCUGAGGCCAGUGCCUGGCUAGUGGGUCGGAGGGAGGGGUGCUGCUGUGCUGACUCUGCCACGUCCUUAACGGGGAGCCGAGGCCCCUGCUGUGCUCACCUACGGGCGGUGCAUCCCCACAGGUGGGUGCGCAUCCGCACAGAUGGGUGUGCAUUCACACAGAUGGGUGCACAUCCGCACAGGUGGGUGCGCAUUCACACAGGUGGGUGCCCAUCGGCACAGGUGGGUGCGCAUUCACACAGGUGGGUGCGCAUUCACACAGGUGGGUGCCCAUCCGCACAGGUGGGUGCGCAUUCACACAGGUGGGUGCCCAUCGGCACAGGUGGGUGUGCACCCAACACGUGACGCCUUGCAGGCCUCGGGCUUUGCCAGCCCCGGCACCAGCCGUGCCUCCGACCACUGCCCAUCAGAGUGUGACUGACCAGAAACAGUUGAGCCCAGUGAGUUCCUAAGGGGCUGGGUUAGCCGCGGGGGUCCCACGGUUUGUGUGUGACCAGGUGCUAAAUGACUGACUGUGUCACCUGCCUUUCGAUGCCAGACCGUGUCCUCUGGUGAUGCCGCUCCUGAGUUUGUGUUUAAACUACAUUUUGGUACUUUCAUGUACAUUUGUGGCAUGUGGAGUCUCAAAUAAAGUGGACGAUUUAGAGAACCA